CUAAAAGAAGUUCCAACACUCAGAGGUGACAACCACACUGAGUGGAGGAAGAAAGUUGAACUGGCGUUUGUUUGUGCUGAUCUUGACUGGGUUGUGGAGAAACCACAGCCGGUCAGACCCACAGAGCCAGUAAGAGAGGCUACUGACGAUGAUGCUGCAUGGGCUAAAAAGAGAGGGGACUAUGCUCCUUUGGAGCAGUCCUACCUCAUAGAUAAUCAAAAGUGGGUCAAUGCAAAUAAAAAAUGCAUGGCCUUUAUAAAGAACACCAUUGAGAGCGCCAUUGUGGGCUCCAUUGCAGAGUGCACUUCCGCAGGGGAGUUGCUCUCAAAGAUAAAGAGCCAGUUCACUGGCUCUUGA
Molecule: ribosomal RNA, 357 nt
Filed under: Triticum aestivum (bread wheat)
Lineage: Eukaryota; Viridiplantae; Streptophyta; Magnoliopsida; Poales; Poaceae
Description: partial small subunit ribosomal RNA
Source: RNAcentral